This 277-nucleotide ribosomal RNA is filed under the name Escherichia coli. RNAcentral's name for it is "partial 16S ribosomal RNA". It matches the Rfam family "Bacterial small subunit ribosomal RNA", at positions 1 to 274 of the family's 1533-position model. The record is from RNAcentral. Lineage: Bacteria; Pseudomonadati; Pseudomonadota; Gammaproteobacteria; Enterobacterales; Enterobacteriaceae.
AAAUUGAAGAGUUUGAUCAUGGCUCAGAUUGAACGCUGGCGGCAGGCCUAACACAUGCAAGUCGAACGGUAACAGAAAGCAGCUUGCUGCUUUGCUGACGAGUGGCGGACGGGUGAGUAAUGUCUGGGAAACUGCCUGAUGGAGGGGGAUAACUACUGGAAACGGUAGCUAAUACCGCAUAACGUCGCAAGACCAAAGAGGGGGACCUUCGGGCCUCUUGCCAUCGGAUGUGCCCAGAUGGGAUUAGCUUGUUGGUGGGGUAACGGCUCACCAAGGC